CUCACUGUACAGUACCUCAUCGAACUCAACAUGACCAGGGCCAUUAUUUCAUGGAUUCUGUUACUGCUUUGCAGUCAAGGAACAGUAGGUGCAGAUGAUGUUAUACAAAAGCCUAAGAUUCUUUGGGGACACAAGGAUAGUUCUGUUCAUAUGAACUGCACACACAAUAAGGGCUCAACAUACAGACUGAUGUACUGGUACAGACAGCGGCAAGGACAAACUAUGAGACUCAUAGCAUUCACAACCUCUUACACCGAACCAGAAUAUGAAGAUUCUGAGCUGAAUAAAUUUGUGGCCAAUAAAACGGUUGCUGAGAAUGGAUCUCUGACUGUUAACAAUUUGCAGCCGAAUGAUAGUGCCACAUAUUUCUGUUCAGUGAGUGAAUACACAGUGUAUCAAACUCAGGGGAGAGCUGUACAAAAAACAGGUGUCUUAAAAUGAGAGAUAAUUAUUGAUCAACAGGGGGCAGUGUGAUUCAAGAAAUUUUUAGCCUACUCACAAAUGGAGCCGUUUGCAUAAGAGAUUUUAAUGAAUGAUGAUGAAUCAUUAUCACUGUCCACCUUCUGUA
This is a non-coding RNA of Cyprinus carpio (common carp), 568 nucleotides long. The record is from the annotation of a RefSeq genome assembly. Lineage: Eukaryota; Metazoa; Chordata; Actinopteri; Cypriniformes; Cyprinidae.